This 27-nucleotide non-coding RNA is filed under the name Homo sapiens (human). The record is from RNAcentral. Lineage: Eukaryota; Metazoa; Chordata; Mammalia; Primates; Hominidae.
GCAGCCUCAGGAGAACACGACUCACGU